Molecule: unclassified non-coding RNA, 223 nt
Filed under: Hevea brasiliensis (rubber tree)
Lineage: Eukaryota; Viridiplantae; Streptophyta; Magnoliopsida; Malpighiales; Euphorbiaceae
Source: RNAcentral
AUAAAGCAAUUAAACGUCAUUCAAAACUUUGUACUGAAACAUAGGAAUUGAAAUUGCUAAAAUUUAAAAACCAUAGAAAAAAAAAAUUUGUUAAUUUUUAAAACAAUAUGGAUGAAAAUGUGUUUUUAAGGCAAAAUUCAAAUGACAGGGCAUCCCAAAUAGAAAUAAGAGAAAUAAAGAGAAACAAGCACAGGGAAACUAGGACAGCUUCUGUGACUCCAAG